Cinara cedri is the source of this 1382-nucleotide non-coding RNA. NCBI's taxonomy places the organism in Eukaryota, Metazoa, Arthropoda, Insecta, Hemiptera, Aphididae. The record is from the annotation of a GenBank genome assembly.
CUAUAUUAUAGGUAUAAAUCGUUAAAUAAUAUUGAAUUCGAAAUUUAUUUGAUUUGUAUUUUAAAUAAUAUAUUUAUACGCAAUAUUGUUGUAUGUCGGACAUCAUUGACUAAACAAUAUAAUAUUUAAGGGCUGUACAACUUUUAAAAUCACAUGAUAAUCAUAUUAUUAUGUAAUAUUAUGCAUAUUGUACGUAUAUUCAAAUAUUUUCCUUUAUUGAUAAAAUAAACUAUCAUCGCGGUAGGGGAUUCGGCGAUAUAUUCAAUGAAGCACAGUACAUAAUAUGAUGGGGACGCGUAAAAACCUAUAAUCUGAAAAGUAAAAAUCUGGAAUUUAAAAAUUUGAAAUCUGUAAAAAUCUGGACCUGGUAAACAUGGGCAGUAGAAAACUGGACCAUAUAAAUCAGGAAAUCCAAAAUAUUUACGGUUUAAUUUUCUUUUGGUCAGGUUUGUUUGGUUCAGAUUAUUGCACCGAUUUCAUAGGCAUUCUAAAUGAUAAAUUAUUUCUUAUUGUACUGAAAAUAAUCGUAUAUUUUAGUUGGGUAGAACGGUUUACGUUUAUACGUUUUAAUCGAGGCUAUUGCUCAAACCGAAUAGUGAAGUCAGGAAGAUGUACCUGCGUCCUGUAGCUAAGAAUAGAUAUUUAUCAUUACUAAAUAGAUAGGUAUGAUGACGACUUGCUAAAACUCCGCAUGUUCUCUGCCCAGAGAGCAUAGUUCGCCAUCUCUCAAUGGUUCUUGACAAUACUGAAUGUCUGUAAUUGCAUAUCACAAUAUAAUGCAAUAAAGUAAUAAAAUAAUGAAUAUAAUACAAUAAACGUAAUGAAAUGAUGAAUAUAAUAUAUUGUGAACUAUAAGUGGACGUGGCGCAUUUGUUCUCAUCAUAGUUAUCUACUUAGUUAUGAUAUUUAUAAAAUAUUUAAGUAGGCAAUCGUUAUUUUACUGUAACAAUAUUAUUAUAUUAUUGAGAUUAUAUUUGAUUUUUUCGCAAAUUUAAAAUUAAACUCAACAACGAACUACAUUAUAGAUGUUAAAAAUUAACUUUGUUUUAACCAGUACAACCAACAAAUUAUCCGCUUGUAACUAUAACUAUAUAAGCUACUUUACGUAUAUAGACAAUUAAAAAAUGUAAAAGGAGUGCCUUUUCUAUGACAUAAUUAUUAAUUUAGAAUAAAAUAAACGAAAAUAACUUAAUAAUAUUUUAAAUCGUAAUAAUCAAUAUUUGUAUAAAAAUAUAGAAUAUAAAUUUAAUACUUUAAUAUUAAUUAUUUUAAUAAUAAAUAUUUCUUAGCAAUAUUUCUGUAUUAAUGCGAGUUUCUUUUUAGAGAUCUUUAUGUAUAAUAUGAAUAAUAAUUGAAAACUUCAACAUUUCUAUUGAACCAAC